CCGAACCCGAGAAAAAGAAAGACGCGGAGAAACCUAAAGCCGACGCUCCCAAACAGGAAGCCGCUAAGCCCAAGGCCGAGCCCGAGAAGAAGAAAGACGGCGGCGAGAAGCCUAAGUCUGAGCCUGAGAAAAAGAAAGACGCGGAAAAGCCUAAAGCAGAGGCUCCCAAAAAGGAAGCCGAAAAACCCAAGGAAGCGGAAAAGCCCAAAGACAAGCCGGCACCUGCUGCGUUACCCGUUCAGCCACAUAUAGCACCACCGAUGGCGGUUCCAGUUGGGAUGCUCUAUGCUCCUGCUCCCUGCUAUGAAGGUAGGCCCGUUGGGCCUUUCUACGAAUACGGUGGGC
Molecule: long non-coding RNA, 345 nt
Filed under: Vigna radiata
Lineage: Eukaryota; Viridiplantae; Streptophyta; Magnoliopsida; Fabales; Fabaceae
Description: long non-coding RNA (VRAD_LNC010670)
Source: RNAcentral